Molecule: ribosomal RNA, 435 nt
Filed under: uncultured bacterium
Lineage: Bacteria
Description: partial 16S ribosomal RNA
Rfam family: Bacterial small subunit ribosomal RNA
Source: RNAcentral
AGCGAACGCUGGCGGCAGGCUUAACACAUGCAAGUCGAGCGGGCACUUUCGGGUGUCAGCGGCGGACGGGUGAGUAACGCGUGGGAACGUGCCCUCUGGUUCGGAAUAACUCAGGGAAACUUGAGCUAAUACCGGAUACGCCCUUUUGGGGAAAGGCUUGCUGCCGGAGGAUCGGCCCGCGUCUGAUUAGCUAGUUGGUGAGGUAACGGCGCACCAAGGCGACGAUCAGUAGCUGGUCUGAGAGGAUGAUCAGCCACACUGGGACUGAGACACGGCCCAGACUCCUACGGGAGGCAGCAGUGGGGAAUAUUAGACAAGCGGCGCAAGCCUGAUCCAGCCAUGCCGCGUGAGUGAUGAAGGCCUUAGGGUUGUAAAGCUCUUUUAUCCGGGACGAUAAUGACGGUAUCGGAGGAAUAAGCCCCGGCUAACUUCGUG